RNAcentral lists this small RNA (3590 nucleotides) under Rattus norvegicus (Norway rat). RNAcentral's name for it is "uncharacterized LOC102550774". Lineage: Eukaryota; Metazoa; Chordata; Mammalia; Rodentia; Muridae. The record is from RNAcentral.
GCAUGGCCCAGCCCUCCCUGCCCCGCUCAGACCGAGCUCUCAAGCUCCGAAGCUGCCUUCUCCUCUCCAAUCGCCAAGUUCCCAGAGGAAGAAGAUUGGCGUGUUCUUGCUGUCUUCCUGGGAAGGAACCGGAGUUACAAGGGAACCCAGGGAUGUCACUUCUAAAGGCAGUACCUAGCCAGAGAGACAUUUAGCCCAGAAGUGCCUCUUCCUUGUUCGUCACACAGGCUGGAGACACUGAUGUCUCCAUCCCAUCAAAGGAAAAGAUAUAUACAGACAGACAGACAGACAGACAGACACACACACACACACACACACACACACACACACGUGCAUACCCUCCAUAUGAAAGGACAAAUGUUACCAGGGACAGAGAAAGCUGACAGGGGUCUUAUAGUAAAACGGAACCUGGGCUAUGUGUGUCUGAUACUGCCUUGCCAUAUGGUGCCUUUUUAAGGCCUGUCCAAUCCCAGAUUACUUCUGUUUGCCACAAACUGGAAACACUCACCUACUGUCUUGGUAAAGAACUCGAGGUCACUCAGCUGGCAACAAAAGAGCCUAUUACAGCCUGGUGAGCAGCCUUGCUGAGAGGACCUGAUGUGGAUAUUUAACCUCUUCAUCUAGAAACCUUUCUCUCCUCAAUGGUCAUGGAGGAUUGAGCCUCCCAAGGCCUUAAUAGUAUCCGUGCGAGCUUUACACCAGAUGUAGUUUUCCUUUGGCGUCUCAAAUGGCUGCCAUUUUGGUGACUUCUGGAGCUGAGAUGCUGCCUGCUGGCUUCAACAGGGCUGGUGGUCCCUUCCCUAGCAUAUGGGAAGGGGCCUGCUGACAUAGCCCUGGCUUACUUUCCACUUGGGUAAUUACAUUCUGCAGACUUGCAAGUUUCCCACCAGGUCCAUCUUUUGGAACAGAAUGCCUUCUCUGUGCUGGGUUGCUGGCCUGCCCUCUGAGAUGGGAAUGGCCGAUGGAUUGCAUUUCAAGCUGCAGGAAGUGCAGAACCAGGUGCAAACGCUUUCUCCUACCAAGUGCAGCUUCUCGCCUCGGAAUGAGCUGUAGGCCAAACCUCCACUGUCCAGGAUGAACUGUGCCUGUAGCAAGCUGAACAGUGACUGACCCUCUGCUAAAAAUUGAAGGCGCGUCCCAGUCUGGGGUGAAACACUAGCGAUGAAAACGGUCUCUAAACCGUGGCAGAGAAAAAAGAAAGAAAGAAAAGAAAGCAAGCAUUGCCAGGCUCUGCUGCUGUCUCCGUGGGUCAUUCCCACUCCCAAGGAUUUCCGUGUCGGUUCUGAUCAAUCAGGAUGGUGGGAGGUGACCCAGUUUCACAGCAUCUGAAGCCAUUCCAUUUUUCUGUGAUACAAUUCCAUUGUGGGCCAAGCAGAAAGGUCCGGCAGAGAGACGCACACCUUCUCUUAAAAUGCCUUCUUCAGAGAAGUUGUUUCUCAGACAGGAGGAAAAAGAAAUCUGAAGCAUGUGUCCUGGGCUGAAACUCUCCCCUGGUUACCAACCUUCCCGAGCACAAGGUGGGAUGGUCUAAGAGUCUGACCUUUCGGGACUAAGAACAUGUAGAGCUGAGAAGGAAUUCAAACCAGUCUGUUUUUUUAAGCACUGGUGAUAUAACCUGUGAAACCCACAACACUGUAAAACUGGUAAUUUGUAAAUUCCUCGGUGGCACAGAAAACUAAUCUGGCAAAGAGAAAAACAGUGAAUGAUAUUCACUUUCUCCACAACUCUUUCCUUUGUUUACGAUCACAGCAAUGCCUUCUUUGAUAAGCAACUCAAAAAUCAAAGAAAAACCACCAGCCAGAGGAGACAAUAAGUCCAGUCAAAAGAGAUUUGGGACCUACCUUUAAUCCCUAAUAAUGGUCCAGAAAACCGUUUCCUUCUUGCUUUUAUAGUGUCUUCGACAAGUCCAGCGGAGGCACUAGCCGGGCAAGCAAUUUUAUGCUGGCCUCUUCAGAUAGCUUUGUGUAAUUUACAUUAUUUUUAAUUUCAGUAAUAGUAACUAGCGGGCUCAGGCAAUAAGCACUUUUUAACAAUGAAUAAAUAAAGAAACCUCUCAUAUUUCAAUUAAGUAAUGGAACGAAAUCAUAAUGAGAAUGGCUGUUUCAUUUUAGUCGGCUGUUGCCCAAAGAAUGUUCAUUAGACACGUUGCACUGUUAAUAUUUGUAAUGUUUGCACUAAUAUAAUUCAUAUUAUGGCGUUCACGGUAAUAUUGGGGAGUUUGGAGAACACUAAUCUCUCAUAGAGUGAGCCAUUGCACCAACACAGAAUCCUGUUUUCAUUGGACCAACAGGGUCACCCUUGGCUUGAAAAAAAUCGUUAUUUUUAAUCUGCGUGUAUUUGUCUGUGUAGGGUGUCUGUGCGCCACAGUGUGCAUGCGGAGGUCAGAAGACAGCCUCGGGUAUCAGUCCUUGCUUUCAGUCUUGUUGAGGAUGGUUCUCCGCCUGGACACUGCAGUGCGUGGCACCUUAGCUGGGCUGUGUCAUUCCGGGAUUCUCCUGUCUCUGUCUCUCCUCUCGUGUAGGAACACUGGGGCCGUACCACACAUGCAACCAAACUCAGCCUUGUGUGGAUUCUGGGGAUCCAAAGGCUCGCAGAGCAAACACAUUACCCACUGACCCCCCUCCCUAACCCUGCCUUUGCCUUCUUAAUUCUUGUCGUUUGAUAGAUGUGAGGGAACGAGGGCUGAGGGUUGAAGAGAUGCGGUUGGCCCCGUUUACUUAGACAUCUAAAAAAGUUAUCCAGCCUCUGCUCUGUUUUUAGGUUAUAUACCGGAGAAUGCAAGGUCAUGUGACUAAGGAUAUAUUUAGUUAGGUGGGAGUGUAUACAUACAUCAUUCUAGCCAAUAAUGGUACUGACGAAGCCAACUACUAUUUUUUUUCUCAGAUUAUAACACAUAGUGAUUAUUUAUGAAAACCUCCUGUAGCUCUUCUGGAUUAAAUGCAAGUUUCAGAACAUGUGUGUAUACUACACAGAGAGUGCUUACUCUGGUUCGAACGCAUUUGAAGUUGGUUGUGGCAGUACAUACUUUCUAUCCUAGCACUAUGGAUGCUGAGACAGAAGGGUGGCAAGUUCAAGGCGUGUGUGGGACACAUAGUGAGACUACAUCUUUUUAAAAGUUGCUUAUAUGGGGCUGGAGUGAUGGCUCAGCAAUUCAGAGCAUUUGUUGAUCUUUCAAAGGACCUGAGUUCAGAACCCAGUACCCACAGUGGUUCAGGGCUGUGGUUCCAGGGAAUCUGAUCUCCCCAUCCUGGCCUCAGGGUCACAUGUGGUCACAUACACACAUUCAGGCAAAUAUGAUUUUAAAUACAUUAUUUUAAAGCAAUAGUUAUUUUUACAUGACUCAUUGUUUGAAUUCAUUUCAAAGAGGCAAAAUAAUGUAUGAUUAUAUAUAAUUUUAAUAGCAUGAAUUCACCCUAUCUCUUUGGUCCACAAAUAUUUAUGAAUUUUAUAAUUUCAUGCACACUCCUUCCAGUUUGAGACUGUCUGAAAGAUGAUCCAUCCUGUCAUUUAAGACAUUAAAGCACUGUAUGGGGCUGGAGAGAUGGCUCAUUUGAUUAAGAGCACUGACUGCUCUUCCAGAGGUCCUGAGU